UGCAUGUGACUGAACGUACUAAGUAGCUGGAAUCUACGUUUUUGUCUAGAUUUCUAGAGGCAUUAGCACCUUCUUUACGAGGCUGAAUUGAAAAGAGAAGCAAGACCUUCUUCAGAUCCUGUACCUUUCAGUAGAUCCCCUGAGGGAAGAUGGCAAGGAGCUCAGCUGACUUCCAUCUGCUUCAAAGCAACUUCCCUCUGCUCAUGACUUUCCCCUGCUUGCUACUUCCUCUUGUAACUCAAGAUUUCCACCUCUUACUGGGAUAGAUCUCCAGCCCCAGAUAUUUCUGGAACACCAGCAGUCGCAGUUGCCAUACUGUAUCUCAAACAAGGAUUGCUUCUCAGAAUGAUGGCUGAAUUCACUGAACUAAAACACCAUUGCUAUUCCCAAGACUUUAGGGUUAAGAAUCUUGGACAGUCCCCAUCAGUAUCUGAAGAGACAUAAAGGUCAAGAAUAUGACCUUUGGCUGAGAAGGAACAGAACAAAAAGAGGGAAUUGUUACCUAAUAUGAAUAAGAAGAUAGAAUAGAGCAACUAGCUGUGCCUGGUGAUUUUAAGC
RNAcentral lists this long non-coding RNA (558 nucleotides) under Sarcophilus harrisii (Tasmanian devil). RNAcentral's name for it is "lncRNA (ENSSHAG00000028904.1)". The record is from RNAcentral. Lineage: Eukaryota; Metazoa; Chordata; Mammalia; Dasyuromorphia; Dasyuridae.